CCUACGGGAGGCAGCAGUAGGGAAUAUUGCUCAAUGGGGGAAACCCUGAAGCAGCAACGCCGCGUGAAGGAUGAAGGUUUUCGGAUUUUAAACUCUUUUUGUUAGAGAAGAUAAUGACGGUAUCUAACGAAUAAGCACCGGCUAACUCCGUGCCAGCAGCCGCGGUAAUACGGAGGGUGCAAGCGUUACUCGGAAUCACUGGGCGUAAAGAGCGCGUAGGCGGGAUAGCAAGUCAGAUGUGAAAUCCUAUGGCUUAACCAUAGAACUGCAUUUGAAACUGUUAUUCUAGAGUAUGGGAGAGGUAGGUGGAAUUCUUGGUGUAGGGGUAAAAUCCGUAGAGAUCAAGAGGAAUACUCAUUGCGAAGGCGACCUGCUAGAACAUAACUGACGCUGAUGCGCGAAAGCGUGGGGAGCAAACAGGAUUAGAUACCCUAGUAGUC
Molecule: ribosomal RNA, 440 nt
Filed under: uncultured bacterium
Lineage: Bacteria
Description: partial 16S ribosomal RNA
Rfam family: Bacterial small subunit ribosomal RNA
Source: RNAcentral